This 613-nucleotide ribosomal RNA is filed under the name uncultured archaeon. Its description in RNAcentral is "bacterial SSU rRNA". It matches the Rfam family "Archaeal small subunit ribosomal RNA", at positions 56 to 675 of the family's 1478-position model. The record is from RNAcentral.
AGUCUUUGUAGUAAUACAAGGCAGACGGCUCAGUAACACGUAGUCAACCUACCCUAUGGACAAGAAUAAUCUCGGGAGACUGAGCAUAAUUCUUGAUAGAUCAUAAUGCCUGGAAUGGUUUAUGGUUAAAAUGAUUCGUCGCCAUAGGAUGGGACUGCGGCCUAUCAGCUUGUUGGUGAGGUAAUGGCCCACCAAGGCGAUUACAGGUACGGGCUCUGAGAGGAGAAGCCCGGAGAUGGGUACUGAGACACGGACCCAGGCCCUAUGGGGCGCAGCAGACGAGAAAACUUUGCAAUGUGCGAAAGCACGACAAGGUUAAUCCGAGUGAUUUCUGCUAAAGAAAUCUUUUGCCAGUCAUAAAACCACUGGUGAAUAAGGGGUGGGCAAGUUCUGGUGUCAGCCGCCGCGGUAAAACCAGCACCUCAAGUGGUCAGGAUGAUUAUUGGGCCUAAAGCAUCCGUAGCCGGCCUUGUUAGUUUUCGGUUAAAUCCAUGUGCUCAACGCAUGGGCUGCCGAAAAUACUGCAUAGCUAGGGAGUGGGAGAGGUAGACGGUACUCAGUAGGAAGGGGUAAAAUCCUUUGAUCUAUUGAUGACCACCUGUGGCGAAGGCGG